This 429-nucleotide ribosomal RNA is filed under the name Chloroflexota bacterium. RNAcentral describes it as "Chloroflexi bacterium partial 16S ribosomal RNA". It matches the Rfam family "Bacterial small subunit ribosomal RNA", at positions 355 to 776 of the family's 1533-position model. Lineage: Bacteria; Bacillati; Chloroflexota. The record is from RNAcentral.
UGGGGAAUAUUGCACAAUGGGCGCAAGCCUGAUGCAGCCAUGCCGCGUGUGUGAAGAAGGCCUUCGGGUUGUAAAGCACUUUCAGCGGGGAGGAAGGCGAUAAGGUUAAUAACCUUGUCGAUUGACGUUACCCGCAGAAGAAGCACCGGCUAACUCCGUGCCAGCAGCCGCGGUAAUACGGAGGGUGCAAGCGUUAAUCGGAAUUACUGGGCGUAAAGCGCACGCAGGCGGUCUGUCAAGUCGGAUGUGAAAUCCCCGGGCUGAACCUGGGAACUGCAUUCGAAACUGGCAGGCUAGAGUCUUGUAGAGGGGGAUAGAAUUCCAGGUGUAGCGAUGAAAUGCGUAGAGAUCUGGAGGAAUACCGGUGGCGAAGGCGGCCCCCUGGACAAAGACUGACGCUCAGGUGCGAAAGCGUGGGGAGCAAACAGG